Molecule: ribosomal RNA, 252 nt
Filed under: uncultured bacterium
Lineage: Bacteria
Description: partial 16S ribosomal RNA
Rfam family: Bacterial small subunit ribosomal RNA
Source: RNAcentral
UACGGGGGGGCAAGCGUUGUUCGGAAUUACUGGGCGUAAAGGGCUCGUAGGUGGCCAACUAAGUCAGACGUGAAAUCCCUCAGCUUAACUGGGGAACUGCGUCUGAUACUGGAUGGCUUGAGUUUGGGAGAGGGAUGCGGAAUUCCAGGUGUAGCGGUGAAAUGCGUAGAUAUCAGGAGGAACACCGAUGGCGAAGGCAGGUCUCUGGGCCACUACUGACGCUGAGAAGCGAAAGCGUGGGGAGCGAACAGG